Molecule: long non-coding RNA, 298 nt
Organism: Dama dama (fallow deer)
Lineage: Eukaryota; Metazoa; Chordata; Mammalia; Artiodactyla; Cervidae
Exons: 3
Source: RefSeq, a predicted model, not a curated record
AGUACACAUCCAUGCUGGACAGGAAGGUUAAGGACAGGCUGUGAAGUGCCUUGCUAAGGUGGAUAAGGAGGGACUUCUGAUCUCCUGCUGACUGGAAGUGAAAUGCCUGUCACCAUAUAGAACAGUAGGCAAGACUGGGAUUUCUUGUUUGUAGUGACUAACAGCAAUAGACUGUCCUCUGGUUAUUAGAAAGAAUGAAGUCUAAAUACUGAAAAAGGAUAAACAACAUACAGAUAAAUAUUUUGAAACGACCCAGAUUUGGAAAGUCCUAAUACAUUGCCAAGCUUUCAACAUUUUC